UUAAGCGACUAAGCGUACACGGUGGAUGCCCUGGCAGUCAGAGGCGAUGAAGGACGUGCUAAUCUGCGAUAAGCGUCGGUGAGGUGAUAUGAACCGUUAUAACCGGCGAUUUCCGAAUGGGGAAACCCAGUGUGUUUCGACACACUAUCAUUAACUGAAUCCAUAGGUUAAUGAGGCGAACCGGGGGAACUGAAACAUCUAAGUACCCCGAGGAAAAGAAAUCAACCGAGAUUCCCCCAGUAGCGGCGAGCGAACGGGGAGGAGCCCAGAGCCUGAAUCAGUGUGUGUGUUAGUGGAAGCGUCUGGAAAGGCGCGCGAUACAGGGUGACAGCCCCGUACACAAAAAUGCACAUGCUGUGAGCUCGAUGAGUAGGGCGGGACACGUGGUAUCCUGUCUGAAUAUGGGGGGACCAUCCUCCAAGGCUAAAUACUCCUGACUGACCGAUAGUGAACCAGUACCGUGAGGGAAAGGCGAAAAGAACCCCGGUGAGGGGAGUGAAAAAGAACCUGAAACCGUGUACGUACAAGCAGUGGGAGCCUCUUUAUGGGGUGACUGCGUACCUUUUGUAUAAUGGGUCAGCGACUUAUAUUCUGUAGCAAGGUUAACCGAAUAGGGGAGCCGAAGGGAAACCGAGUCUUAACUGGGCGUUAAGUUGCAGGGUAUAGACCCGAAACCCGGUGAUCUAGCCAUGGGCAGGUUGAAGGUUGGGUAACACUAACUGGAGGACCGAACCGACUAAUGUUGAAAAAUUAGCGGAUGACUUGUGGCUGGGGGUGAAAGGCCAAUCAAACCGGGAGAUAGCUGGUUCUCCCCGAAAGCUAUUUAGGUAGCGCCUCGUGAAUUCAUCUCCGGGGGUAGAGCACUGUUUCGGCAAGGGGGUCAUCCCGACUUACCAACCCGAUGCAAACUGCGAAUACCGGAGAAUGUUAUCACGGGAGACACACGGCGGGUGCUAACGUCCGUCGUGAAGAGGGAAACAACCCAGACCGCCAGCUAAGGUCCCAAAGUCAUGGUUAAGUGGGAAACGAUGUGGGAAGGCCCAGACAGCCAGGAUGUUGGCUUAGAAGCAGCCAUCAUUUAAAGAAAGCGUAAUAGCUCACUGGUCGAGUCGGCCUGCGCGGAAGAUGUAACGGGGCUAAACCAUGCACCGAAGCUGCGGCAGCGACACUAUGUGUUGUUGGGUAGGGGAGCGUUCUGUAAGCCUGCGAAGGUGUGCUGUGAGGCAUGCUGGAGGUAUCAGAAGUGCGAAUGCUGACAUAAGUAACGAUAAAGCGGGUGAAAAGCCCGCUCGCCGGAAGACCAAGGGUUCCUGUCCAACGUUAAUCGGGGCAGGGUGAGUCGACCCCUAAGGCGAGGCCGAAAGGCGUAGUCGAUGGGAAACAGGUUAAUAUUCCUGUACUUGGUGUUACUGCGAAGGGGGGACGGAGAAGGCUAUGUUGGCCGGGCGACGGUUGUCCCGGUUUAAGCGUGUAGGCUGGUUUUCCAGGCAAAUCCGGAAAAUCAAGGCUGAGGCGUGAUGACGAGGCACUACGGUGCUGAAGCAACAAAUGCCCUGCUUCCAGGAAAAGCCUCUAAGCAUCAGGUAACAUCAAAUCGUACCCCAAACCGACACAGGUGGUCAGGUAGAGAAUACCAAGGCGCUUGAGAGAACUCGGGUGAAGGAACUAGGCAAAAUGGUGCCGUAACUUCGGGAGAAGGCACGCUGAUAUGUAGGUGAAGCGACUUGCUCGUGGAGCUGAAAUCAGUCGAAGAUACCAGCUGGCUGCAACUGUUUAUUAAAAACACAGCACUGUGCAAACACGAAAGUGGACGUAUACGGUGUGACGCCUGCCCGGUGCCGGAAGGUUAAUUGAUGGGGUUAGCGGUAACGCGAAGCUCUUGAUCGAAGCCCCGGUAAACGGCGGCCGUAACUAUAACGGUCCUAAGGUAGCGAAAUUCCUUGUCGGGUAAGUUCCGACCUGCACGAAUGGCGUAAUGAUGGCCAGGCUGUCUCCACCCGAGACUCAGUGAAAUUGAACUCGCUGUGAAGAUGCAGUGUACCCGCGGCAAGACGGAAAGACCCCGUGAACCUUUACUAUAGCUUGACACUGAACAUUGAGCCUUGAUGUGUAGGAUAGGUGGGAGGCUUUGAAGUGUGGACGCCAGUCUGCAUGGAGCCGGCCUUGAAAUACCACCCUUUAAUGUUUGAUGUUCUAACGUUGGCCCGUAAUCCGGGUUGCGGACAGUGUCUGGUGGGUAGUUUGACUGGGGCGGUCUCCUCCUAAAGAGUAACGGAGGAGCACGAAGGUUGGCUAAUCCUGGUCGGACAUCAGGAGGUUAGUGCAAUGGCAUAAGCCAGCUUGACUGCGAGCGUGACGGCGCGAGCAGGUGCGAAAGCAGGUCAUAGUGAUCCGGUGGUUCUGAAUGGAAGGGCCAUCGCUCAACGGAUAAAAGGUACUCCGGGGAUAACAGGCUGAUACCGCCCAAGAGUUCAUAUCGACGGCGGUGUUUGGCACCUCGAUGUCGGCUCAUCACAUCCUGGGGCUGAAGUAGGUCCCAAGGGUAUGGCUGUUCGCCAUUUAAAGUGGUACGCGAGCUGGGUUUAGAACGUCGUGAGACAGUUCGGUCCCUAUCUGCCGUGGGCGCUGGAGAACUGAGGGGGGCUGCUCCUAGUACGAGAGGACCGGAGUGGACGCAUCACUGGUGUUCGGGUUGUCAUGCCAAUGGCACUGCCCGGUAGCUAAAUGCGGAAGAGAUAAGUGCUGAAAGCAUCUAAGCACGAAACUUGCCCCGAGAUGAGUUCUCCCUGACUCCUUGAGAGUCCUGAAGGAACGUUGAAGACGACGACGUUGAUAGGCCGGGUGUGUAAGCGCAGCGAUGCGUUGAGCUAACCGGUACUAAUGAACCGUGAGGCUUAACCUU
RNAcentral lists this ribosomal RNA (2902 nucleotides) under Escherichia coli. RNAcentral describes it as "bacterial LSU rRNA". It matches the Rfam family "Bacterial large subunit ribosomal RNA". The record is from RNAcentral. Lineage: Bacteria; Pseudomonadati; Pseudomonadota; Gammaproteobacteria; Enterobacterales; Enterobacteriaceae.